RNAcentral lists this ribosomal RNA (444 nucleotides) under uncultured Halomicronema sp. Its description in RNAcentral is "bacterial SSU rRNA". It matches the Rfam family "Bacterial small subunit ribosomal RNA", at positions 105 to 582 of the family's 1533-position model. The record is from RNAcentral. Lineage: Bacteria; Bacillati; Cyanobacteriota; Cyanophyceae; Nodosilineales; Nodosilineaceae.
GGUGCGUAAUACGUGAGAAUCUGCCUUUAGGAGGAGUAUAACUGUUGGAAACGACUGCUAACACUCCAUAUGUCGAGAGAUGAAAUAAUUUAUUGCCUAAAGAUGAGCUCGCGCCUGAUUAGCUAGUUGGUGAGGUAAUGGCUCACCAAGGCCACGAUCAGUAGCUGGUUUGAGAGAACGAUCAGCCACACUGGGACUGAGACACGGCCCAGACUCCUCCGGGAGGCAGCAGUGAGGAAUUUUCCGCAAUGGGCGAAAGCCUGACGGAGCAAUACCGCGUGAGGGAUGAAGGAUUUUGGUCUGUAAACCUCUUUUCUCAAGAAAGAAGUUCUGACGGUACUUGAGGAAUAAGCAUCGGCUAACUCCGUGCCAGCAGCCGCGGUAAUACGGGGGAUGCAAGCGUUAUCCGGAAUCAUUGGGCGUAAAGCGCCUGUAGGUUGUUUA